This 1124-nucleotide long non-coding RNA is filed under the name Mus musculus (house mouse). RNAcentral's name for it is "long non-coding RNA chr12:86694561-86695685". The record is from RNAcentral. Lineage: Eukaryota; Metazoa; Chordata; Mammalia; Rodentia; Muridae.
GAGGCAGAGGCAAGGACUUUGAGGCCUUAGUCACCAUCCAUGACAUCACCUCAUCUCACUUCCUAUAAGAGCCAGGGAUCUGGCAGAUGUCUGCAGACCUCCUGACUCAGGCCUGCCCUUUCAGCUCUUCUACCCCACCCUUGGGGACUGCUGGCUGAAGAGGGUCAAGGUGAGGUCAGAGGAGGCUGGUUGGUGGAGGUGGCAUGGGCAGAGAGGUUCCUUGUGUUUGGUGUUGGGUCAAAACACUGGGAAGCUAGCUCCAGAGAACCUUCCUUCUCCAUCCAGCUACCUGCCAGUCCUUUCCCCCUCCAUAACCUCAUAUUUCCUUGUUCCCCCGAACUGUCAUGCUAGCCACCCAUCCUUAGUGGGCAUGGCCAAGCGGGUAGAACAGCAGCCCGCUGGCCCCAGACUUGAUGAUGAAGCCUAGAGACUGGGUACUGAGGAACAGAUUCAGGAGACUGACCAUGGCUGAUGUCUGGUCCAGUCAGAUCAUGCCCUGACCCCUUUCCAGCUGGGAAGACAUCCUGGCUCAGGGGAGGAGUAGGUCUAAUGAUAGCUGUGCAGGCUUUGUGCUCUGAGGUCUGUGCCCGUGUACCACCCCAGCUUUCCUACCUGGGAUGAGUUUGGGCUUAACACAUCAGCGCCCACCCUGACAUGCUGUCAGUGGUGUUAAAGUGCAAGGAUGCACAGGUGGGGACCAAUAAGCCAGAGGUGUGAAGGGCAAGGGUAUUCUCUGAAGGAGUGGAGGUGGGAGCUAGGGAUUCUCCCUACGGGUACCACAGCCUCUCCCAGCAGCAUCUCCAGCCAGGUGGGGCUGUCACUGUACUAGCUGUGAGUCCUGUGCUAGGACCCCCUCACUCCAGUUCGAUGCACUGGGGUCCCAAGCUUCCUUGUUAAGUCUGGAAAGAAAUCUGGGUACACUUGACCCCUGGGCCAGUGAUGACGGACCGCCCAUCCCCUGUGCUUUGUUAGGCUCUUGUGUUGUCCCUGAUGCCAUUAUUGUGCCCUUGUAUCAGUAUUACCCCUGCCUUUCAGUGCACACUUUGUCUCAUUCCUUUCUCACCUUCCCCUGAAAUGAAUAAAGUCUCCCAGCUCCCAUCGUAUGGGCUGGCAGAAAUCACGUG